RNAcentral lists this ribosomal RNA (466 nucleotides) under Symbiodinium sp. CCMP2430. RNAcentral's name for it is "partial Bacterial large subunit ribosomal RNA". It matches the Rfam family "Bacterial large subunit ribosomal RNA", at positions 3 to 518 of the family's 2925-position model. The record is from RNAcentral. Lineage: Eukaryota; Dinophyceae; Suessiales; Symbiodiniaceae.
UCAAGCAACUAAGCGCAUACGGUGGAUGCCUUGGCAGUCAGAGGCGAUGAAAGACGUGGAAGCCUGCGAUAAGGUUCGGGGAGCUGGCAAACAAGCUGUGAUCCGGGCAUUUCUGAAUGGGGAAACCCACCGACUUUCGGGUCGGUAUCUUACACUGAAUCCAUAGGUGUAAGAGGCGAACCGGGGGAACUGAAACAUCUAAGUACCCCGAGGAAAAGAAAUCAACCGAGAUUCCCUAAGUAGCGGCGAGCGAACGGGGACUAGCCCUUAAGCUAGACAACUGGUAGGAGAAGGCUCUGGAAAGUGCCGCCAUAGUGGGUGAUAGCCCCGUAUCCGAAACCUGAGUCUGGUGAAAUCGAGUAGGACGGGACACGUGAUAUCCUGUCUGAACAUGGGGGGACCAUCCUCCAAGGCUAAAUACUCCUUAUCGACCGAUAGUGAACCAGUACCGUGAGGGAAAGGCGAA